Molecule: unclassified non-coding RNA, 391 nt
Filed under: soil metagenome
Description: partial contains 5.8S ribosomal RNA, internal transcribed spacer 2, and large subunit ribosomal RNA
Rfam family: 5.8S ribosomal RNA (bases 1-122)
Source: RNAcentral
GAUGAAGAACGUAGCGAAAUGCGAUACUUGGUGUGAAUUGCAGAAUCCCGUGAACCAUCGAGUCUUUGAACGCAAGUUGUGCCCGAAGCCAUUAGGCCGAGGGCACGCCUGCCUGGGCGUCACACGUCGUUGCCCCCCCAUCUACUCCUUCGGGAUUGCGGGGGGCGGAUGAUGGCCUCCCGUGCGCCUCGUCGCGCGGUUGGCAUAAAUGCCAAGUCCUCGGCGACGCACGCCACGACAAUCGGUGGUUGCGAAACCUCGGUUGCCCGUCGUGUGCGGUCGUCGCGCAUCGAGGGCUCGAAAAAAUUGUCGGGCUCCGGCUCGGCUUUCAACGCGACCCCAGGUCAGGCGGGGUUACCCGCUGAAUUUAAGCAUAUCAAUAAGCGGAGGA